AAGAGUUCUAUAACUCCCAAACCCAUGUGAACAUACCUUACGUUGCCUCGGCAGGUCACGCCUACCCCGUAGCGCCCUACCCUGUAGGACCUACCCGGUAGACGUGGGUAAGCCUGCCGGCGGCCCACGAAACUCUGUUUAGUAUUGAAUUCUGAACCUAUAACUAAAUAAGUUA
RNAcentral lists this unclassified non-coding RNA (175 nucleotides) under uncultured Xylaria. Its description in RNAcentral is "sequence contains ITS1". Lineage: Eukaryota; Fungi; Ascomycota; Sordariomycetes; Xylariales; Xylariaceae. The record is from RNAcentral.